This 301-nucleotide ribosomal RNA is filed under the name uncultured bacterium. RNAcentral describes it as "partial 16S ribosomal RNA". It matches the Rfam family "Bacterial small subunit ribosomal RNA", at positions 509 to 809 of the family's 1533-position model. The record is from RNAcentral.
CAGUAGCCGCGGGAAAACGUAGGUGGCAAGCGUUGUCCGGAAUUAUUGGGCGUAAAGGGCUCGCAGGCGGUUUCUUAAGUCUGAUGUGCAAGCCCCCGGCUCAACCGGGGAGGGUCAUUGGAAACUGGGAAACUUGAGUGCAGAAGAGGAGAGUGGAAUUCCACGUGUAGCGGUGAAAUGCGUAGAGAUGUGGAGGAACACCAGAGGCGAAGGCGACUCUCUGGUCUGUAACUGACGCUGAGGAGCGAAAGCGUGGGGAGCGAACAGGAUUAGAUACCCGUGUAGUCCCUGUCUCUUAUAU